RNAcentral lists this unclassified non-coding RNA (1903 nucleotides) under Hevea brasiliensis (rubber tree). The record is from RNAcentral. Lineage: Eukaryota; Viridiplantae; Streptophyta; Magnoliopsida; Malpighiales; Euphorbiaceae.
AUUUCACAGAAGCCAAAGCAGAAGGUCUAUUGGUAGUCUGCUGGCAUAUGCAAGAUGUACUCCAGAAUAGCACAAAUUCGCCUUGUGAGUUCACAUCAUGAGGUUUAUGAGCCAUGUGAUGAUUCAUUUGCAUUAGUUGAUGCACUUCUAGCUGAUCAAACUAACCUUUUGGAGCAUAAUCCUAGAUUAUGUGUGGAAGUGGGUUGUGGUAGUGGUUAUGUUAUUACCUCUCUUGCUCUUAUGCUCAGGCAGCGUAUUCCUGGGGUCUACUAUAUAGCCACUGACCUCAACCCUCAUGCAAUUAGUGUAACGCAUGAGACACUGGAAGCACAUGGUGUUCAUGCAGAGUUGAUACACACUGACAUUGUGUCUGGACUGGAAAAGCGACUGGCAGGGAUGGUAGAUGUGAUGGUUGUGAACCCACCUUAUGUCCCAACACCUGAUGAUGAAGUGGGUUGUGACGGAAUUACUUCUGCUUGGGCUGGAGGGGAGAAUGGUCGGAGAGUUAUCGACAGGAUAUUGCCCAUUGCGGAUGUUCUUUUGUCUGACAGAGGCUGGUUAUACAUGGUCACUCUUGCAGCAAAUGAUCCUUCACAGAUAUGCCGUCUAAUGAGAAAGAAGGGUUAUGCUUCUAGAAUUGUCGUCCAGAGAUCAACAGAAGAAGAGAGUCUUCUUGUCAUCAAGUUCUGGCGGGAUCCUGACACUCAAUUGGAUGCAAAGAAAACCAUAACAAACAAAACAAUUCCUGAAAGGGUCGUGGAGUCACUGUUUUCGCAGUUUUGUCAAUUGCCAUUCUCGAGAAAUGGUGGUAGCAACAGCUGAUCAAUGAGAAGGUAAAGUUCAUGCCUUUGCCUCUUGUUUGGUCAUUAUUUCUGUUUCGUUUAUAUAUUUUCAUGUUGUUCCUUGGGAUGUUUGCGUUCUAUGCUCCCUCAUUAUUUGCUGCCAAUAUGUUGUAUUCAUAUUUUUAUUGAAAGCAGCAUCAAUUUACUCUCGCUGUUCCAUAUGAAUGUCUCUCACCAGCCUCUACCUCCCCCUUUCUCCUAUUUCUGUAUCCUCAUUCUUUCACUUUGUGGUCACGGUUGCACGAGUUUAAUGCUUUUGGCCGGCCAUAAAAAAGAAUGUAAAAAGUGGAUAGAGGAAACAGAGCAUACCUCAACUGAUAUCUGAGCUGUUCUAUUAGUCUUUUAUUUUCCUAUCUUUAGUACUAAUCCAUUUUUUUUCUCAGAUCUUUUAUCUAUCAGUAGGUUCGAACUUAUCUGUCCCCGAUAAUAACCUUACAUUUCACAGGACAUAUUUGCAUGUAUGGGUAUUGUAGAACAAGUCUAGACCUUCCUUCUAGCAAGUCUUAAAGAACAUGGAUCUCAAUCUUUUGAAUUAUGACUUCAUCUACAACUUGAAGGAGAGUCUCCUUGUACAUGACAUGAAGUUCAACUUAUUUGUUGAUUUUGGAUGUAUUAGUUGUUUGGUUCUAAACCACUUCUUUGAAUAUCUCGGAAAUCCAAUUCAUAACAUUGUACUUGAAACAUUAUUGACGACUUUCAAAUAUCAAUUACCUUACUAUCAAGACAUUUAUUGUCUUGCAUUGUCUGAAAAUUUUCUUGCUGAUGGUCCUUCAGUCUUCAUAAAAGCAUGUAGGCAAAGUUAAGUUAGAGCACAGCAGAAAGCACCGGCAGGUCAUAGUUGUUUAUGAUCUGGAAUCAGAUUGGUUUCAGAUGUAGUGAUGAGUCGACAUUCAUAUAUUCAUCGAAGCCCUAUGCAUGCUUCAACUAGACGUGGAGUUUCAGUGUAAAGGAUGAUCAACAAUCUUGUGUAAGAUGAGGCAAUUUUUAUGUUCAGAUUUUGUUUGGCUUAGGCCAGAUAAUGAUUGUGUACGUAAUGCGAGUUCUCCAUGAGAGAGGGUUUU